This is a non-coding RNA of Merluccius polli (Benguela hake), 68 nucleotides long. The record is from the annotation of a GenBank genome assembly. NCBI's taxonomy places the organism in Eukaryota, Metazoa, Chordata, Actinopteri, Gadiformes, Merlucciidae.
UAGCUCAACCGGUAGAGCAAGGCACUAACACCGCCGGGGUUAGGGGUUCGAUUCCCAGUGUAGCUCAA